RNAcentral lists this ribosomal RNA (369 nucleotides) under uncultured bacterium. RNAcentral describes it as "bacterial SSU rRNA". It matches the Rfam family "Bacterial small subunit ribosomal RNA", at positions 527 to 896 of the family's 1533-position model. The record is from RNAcentral.
GUAGGGUGCGAGCGUUAAUCGGAAUUACUGGGCGUAAAGCGUGCGCAGGCGGUUCGUUGUGUCGGUGGUGAAAGCCCCGGGCUUAACCUGGGAAUGGCCAUGGAAACUGGCGGACUGGAGUGUGGCAGAGGGGGGUGGAAUUCCGCGUGUAGCAGUGAAAUGCGUAGAGAUGCGGAGGAACACCGAUGGCGAAGGCAGCCCCCUGGGCUAACACUGACGCUCAGGCACGAAAGCGUGGGUAGCAGACAGGAUUAGAUACCCUGGUAGUCCACGCCCUAAACCAUGUCAACUAGGUGUUCGGGAAGCGAUUUCUGAGUACCGUAGCUAACGCGUGAAGUUGACCGCCUGGGGAGUACGGCCGCAAGGUUA